Molecule: long non-coding RNA, 523 nt
Organism: Mya arenaria
Lineage: Eukaryota; Metazoa; Mollusca; Bivalvia; Myida; Myidae
Exons: 3
Source: RefSeq, a predicted model, not a curated record
UAAAGCUUAGAGCCUUUUCCCUUCAUGCAUUAAAAACAACAACCUUAAUACAUAAUAAAUGUCUUAAAACCCUAAUGUAUUGUUUAUUUCAAUAGCGAGCCUGGUUGCUGUAGCCACAGGGGAAUUUUCAAGGACAAGAACCAGUGCUGGUAAAAAUGUGGUCUCAUGUGGUUUUCCAUACCGGCAUUCAGCAAGGAUUUCAGAGAAAGGAAUACUGUCUCCAAAUCAUGAUGUGCCAAUAAGCUCCAGUUAGCUGUGCCUUUUUCCUCCCACCGGUAGUCCUUCAAUCUGAAACCAGGAGGUGCAGCUCUGAAUCCAAUAUUUCAGGAGAAUGAAUAUAAAACUGAAGCCUUCAGGAAGUCAAUGCCACCAUGGUAUUGAUUUAUUCAGCUCUGAUGUACUCAGCUGUGAUGUAACAUGCCUUCAAGCCACUAUCCGAAGAACAUUCAGACGUUCUAAAUGGACAAUUGCCCUGUUGCCAUGGAAAUCAUUAUGAGGAGGAGCACACAAACUGUCACUUGUU